This 91-nucleotide transfer RNA is filed under the name Dysosmobacter welbionis. Its description in RNAcentral is "tRNA-Arg". The record is from RNAcentral. RNAcentral also lists the same sequence under 1 other name. Lineage: Bacteria; Bacillati; Bacillota; Clostridia; Eubacteriales; Oscillospiraceae.
GGAUCGGUGGCCUGGUGCGGGGCGCGAUCUUCUCCGCCGCGGUGGGCUGGAUGCUGGCGGCCCUGGGGCAGUUCUGCUCCGCCCUGUACUG